GCCACUUACGGUGGCACGCAACUGUAGCCCCAGCUACAUGGGAAGCUGAAGCAGGAGGAUUACUUGGGCUCAGAAGUUCUGGGCUGUAGUGUGCUGUGCCAAUCAAGUGUCUGUCCUAGGUUUGGCAUCAAUUUGGUGACCUUCUGGAGGCAAGGGACCACCAGCUUUUUAAAGUAAGGGUAAACCAAAACAGGUUAAAAAUAAAGCAGAUCAAUGCUCCCAUGCUGUGUCACUGCAUCCCAGCCUGGGCAACAUACCAAGACCCUAUGUCU
This is an unclassified non-coding RNA of Colobus angolensis palliatus, 272 nucleotides long. It matches the Rfam family "Metazoan signal recognition particle RNA". Rfam says of the family: The signal recognition particle (SRP) is a universally conserved ribonucleoprotein. It is involved in the co-translational targeting of proteins to membranes. The record is from Ensembl. NCBI's taxonomy places the organism in Eukaryota, Metazoa, Chordata, Mammalia, Primates, Cercopithecidae.